UCGUACGAUGGGGGUACGACGGCUGUCGCUGACUUGCAUAAAAGGUCGUGCACGCCCGAGUGCUCUCACAUACAAAUAUCCAUCUCACCCCUUUGUGCAUCACCGCGUGGGUCCCCCCUUCCUUGGAGGGGGGUGCUCACGUUUUUAACAUUAAACACCCAUUCGAACGUAUCGUAGAAUGUUCUUUGCGCGAUGACGCGCGAUCAAUA
RNAcentral lists this unclassified non-coding RNA (209 nucleotides) under uncultured Russula. RNAcentral describes it as "sequence contains ITS1". The record is from RNAcentral. Lineage: Eukaryota; Fungi; Basidiomycota; Agaricomycetes; Russulales; Russulaceae.